AAUCCUACGGGACGCAGCAGUGGGGGAUAUUGCACAAUGGGGGAAACCCUGAUGCAGCGACGCCGCGUGGGCGAAGAAGUAUUUCGGUAUGUAAAGCCCUAUCAGCAGGGAAGAAGAAAUGACGGUACCUGAGUAAGAAGCACCGGCUAAAUACGUGCCAGCAGCCGCGGUAAUACGUAUGGUGCAAGCGUUAUCCGGAUUUACUGGGUGUAAAGGGAGCGCAGGCGGCACGGCAAGUCAGAUGUGAAAGCCCGGGGCUCAACCCCGGGACUGCAUUUGAAACUGUCAGGCUGGAGUGCAGGAGG
RNAcentral lists this ribosomal RNA (305 nucleotides) under uncultured bacterium. RNAcentral describes it as "bacterial SSU rRNA". It matches the Rfam family "Bacterial small subunit ribosomal RNA", at positions 335 to 655 of the family's 1533-position model. The record is from RNAcentral.